RNAcentral lists this transfer RNA (74 nucleotides) under Vibrio breoganii. RNAcentral's name for it is "tRNA-Arg". It matches the Rfam family "tRNA", at positions 14 to 71 of the family's 71-position model. From Rfam's summary of the family: Transfer RNA (tRNA) molecules are approximately 80 nucleotides in length. The record is from RNAcentral. Lineage: Bacteria; Pseudomonadati; Pseudomonadota; Gammaproteobacteria; Vibrionales; Vibrionaceae.
AAGUAUUAGGGUGUUAAACGAGCACGUCCCUUCUAAGGAUGUGGUCGUAGGUUCGAAUCCUACAGGGCGUGCCA